GCAUAUCAAUAAGCGGAGGAAAAGAAACCAACAGGGAUUGCCCUAGUAACGGCGAGUGAAGCGGCAACAGCUCAAAUUUGAAAGCUAGCCUUCGGGUUCGCAUUGUAAUUUGUAGAGGAUGAUUUGGGGAAGCCGCCUGUCUAAGUUCCUUGGAACAGGACGUCAUAGAGGGUGAGAAUCCCGUAUGUGACAGGAAAUGGCACCCUAUGUAAAUCUCCUUCGACGAGUCGAGUUGUUUGGGAAUGCAGCUCUAAAUGGGAGGUAAAUUUCUUCUAAAGCUAAAUAUUGGCGAGAGACCGAUAGCGCACAAGUAGAGUGAUCGAAAGAUGAAAAGCACUUUGGAAAGAGAGUUAAAAAGCACGUGAAAUUGUUGAAAGGGAAGCGCUUGCAAUCAGACUUGUUUAAACUGUUCGGCCGGUCUUCUGACCGGUUUACUCAGUUUGGACAGGCCAGCAUCAGUUUCGGCGGCCGGAUAAAGGCUCUGGGAAUGUGGCCUCCACUUCGGUGGAGGUGUUAUAGCCCAGGGUGUAAUACGGCCAGCCGGGACUGAGGUCCGCGCUUCGGCUAGGAUGCUGGCGUAAUGGUUGUAAGCGACCCGUCUUGAAACACGGACCAAGGAGUCUAACAUCUAUGCGAGUGUUCGGGUGUCAAACCCCUGCGCGUAAUGAAAGUGAACGGAGGUGGGAACCCGCAAGGGUGCACCAUCGACCGAUCCUGAUGUCUUCGGAUGGAUUUGAGUAAGAGCAUAGCUGUUGGGACCCGAAAGAUGGUGAACUAUGCCUGAAUAGGGUGAAGCCAGAGGAAACUCUGGUGGAGGCUCGCAGCGGUUCUGACGUGCAAAUCGAUCGUCAAAUUUGGGUAUAGGGGCGAAAGACUAAUCGAACCAUCUAGUAGCUGGUUCUGC
This 904-nucleotide ribosomal RNA is filed under the name Aureobasidium sp. RNAcentral describes it as "partial large subunit ribosomal RNA". It matches the Rfam family "Eukaryotic large subunit ribosomal RNA", at positions 38 to 960 of the family's 3401-position model. The record is from RNAcentral. Lineage: Eukaryota; Fungi; Ascomycota; Dothideomycetes; Dothideales; Saccotheciaceae.